AGUUUGGAAGUUGAAUUGGGUAACGUUGUCUGGCUGAUCAGUUAGGAAGGAAACCUGUUUUGUACGCCUCGCGAAUCGGCGCCGCCAAAUUCCGUGUUUUGAUAACACGCUUAGCCAGGCUAGAAACUUGGGAAUGCCUAAUGUGAUCAUUCUGCAGAGAUGUUAUUGGCUUGGGCGGACCGCAUUUCAUUUAGCCCGGGCUAAGGACAGUCACCCGCUGACUGUCAACAAGAAGAUUUCUAGCUGAGCUGUUUGAAAUGAAGCAUGCAUUGCAUCCGAGUGUGGUAGCUAGUGUCUGGGUGUUCUGGUGGCGAUCGCUGUGUUUUCUCAGUCAGCCUUUGAGGCCGAAAAGAAACAUCACUGACAGUGUUCGAAAGCGGCAAAAUAUGUCUGCUUUUUGUGACUGGCUAUCUCCGGCGCAGCAGAGGGGCAAGUUUAACAAAAUGCCCAUCUAAUGAAUUAUAUUGAUAAACAAUAGGCUGCCCUCCAUCACAUUCAAUAGCAACGCUGACCGCCAGAACACAAGAAACUACAUGUACAUCCAGGACCCAAGUUAAUACAUACUGCAGCCUUCGGCAUGCCAGCUGCCAGUGCAGCUCCGUUAUAAUGUUGCAAAUCAAAAUCGCAUCCAGCAGAAUGAGAGACACUUGAUGGGAUUUCCUUUCCCAAAAGUGAAGGAAACUGCUGCGAUUAAGUUACUCACCUCGCUGGAUCAGCAAGAAUGAUGAAGUUUGUCAUGUUUGAUAUUGAUUCCUUUGGUCAGCUGGCAACGGUCGAACUUGAUUGCGCAUUGUCUGAAUUAUAAAGCAUGCAUUUUAAAUAUCAUCAGAUCACCACAGAAUAAAAUAAUUGACUGCUGAUGCUCUAGCUUUAAGAAGUUAUUUUGUCCUGGUUUCUUUUAAGAGAGAGAUAUGAGCUUGUCAAGACUAUGCGAGGAAACAGUAUGGGAGGCCUGGGUUAUUUUUAACAGCCUGAAUGGGUGUGGCCAGCUCUCAGAUUAGGAUUUCUAGGUUUCAGUUUUUUUCAGUAGCUUCAGAAGCUAUUGGAUUCUUGACAGAGCUGGAAGCUUCAGUGACGGUCUCCUGUCUGCUACUCUCCUUGAAUUUUCUCUUAAUCUUUUUCCUCCCGGAUUGGAGAACUGCAUGUGAGAAUCUCUGUCUGAAUUCUCCUUUUUUGCC
Molecule: long non-coding RNA, 1178 nt
Organism: Hemiscyllium ocellatum (epaulette shark)
Lineage: Eukaryota; Metazoa; Chordata; Chondrichthyes; Orectolobiformes; Hemiscylliidae
Exons: 3
Source: RefSeq, a predicted model, not a curated record